Molecule: non-coding RNA, 4054 nt
Organism: Danio rerio (zebrafish)
Lineage: Eukaryota; Metazoa; Chordata; Actinopteri; Cypriniformes; Danionidae
Source: Ensembl
GGCUAGCGCAACGUGAGAGUUUGUAAGGCUAAGUUAAUGUUACAUUAUGCGGGCAGUCAGAUUCGAAAAACAAACAAAUAUAACGUUAAUGUUUUUAUAGCUGGCUGCUGGAUUUUGUUGGAUCGAUCAUUUAAAUGUAAUUUGCAUGUUUCGAUUUAUUGAUGUGAUUUGAUUUGUGUACAACGUGAUAUCAGUGCAUUUAGAUGUAAAAGUUCCGAUGUUUUAAGCUAGUUUGUUUUGCUAGUACGUUAAAGGAGAUUGUAACUCAAAUGUAAUAUCUUGUUUCAGGAACUUUGGUGAAAAAAUCAAGACGUGGUGAAUUAGGUUGUUGGAGGUGACUCGAAUCUGAUCGAUAAAGAUUUAUAAAGGCAUGUCCACGUUGGAUGAGGACGUACGAGAUGCUGUAUUGGCAGUCCUACCUGGGCUAUCAGAGGAGAAACUAGUGUCUCUUUUGAACAAAUUGGCAAGCAUAGGAGUUGAAUCCAAAUCUGACUUGCAGUUUGUUAAAGAGGACGAUCUUCCUGAUCACAUCACACCAAUACAGUGUCGUCGGCUCCUCAAUGCAUGGAAUAUAGAAGACAAAACAGUUUGUGCCAAAGUAUCACCUUUAGAAUCCACAAACAUAGUCUUUGAUGUAUCACCAGUAAACUCACCAUCUUCAAAUUUCAGUUCCUCACGUACACCAAGUGUCUCUAGCACAAACAGCUCCAGUUCAACUGUCGAUUUAACUGUAUGGCCUGAAAACUUUGAAGUUCCAUGGAAUCGGAUGUCUUCUGGUAUUAAAACUGCCACUGCACUGGGUAGACGCCCCACAGCUAAAGAACGCAGAGAAAUGGUGAGAAUCAUUGUUGAUGAGAUGAGACAGACAGAGUUAAAUCCAUCAAAAUCACAAUGUCUGAUUGUUGCAAAGAAGAUUGUUAAACAGUACCCACAAAGCUUUGCUGAUGUUUUGAAAGAUGGCACAAGAAUUGGGACUGGCUAUGGAUCCCUUUUGAUACAGCUAAAAACAAGAGUGGAGCAUGUUAAUCGUGGCUGCUCAUUUUCGAGACGCAGGAAACAAAAAAAGACCUCAAAUUCACCACCCGAGGACACUGGACCAGGGCCUACUGACCAGUAUGGAUGUGUAAGGUGGCAGCCUGAGUGUCCUGUUGAUGAUACUGAAGAAAGUCUCCAAGAAAAGCAGGAAGAAAUGAAGGACCUCUAUAGUUGUGAGGGGCCAGCUGGAGCUCAAAAAGGACAUCUAAGUCAAUUAAUGAAAGCUACAUACUACCUCCAACGUAAAUCGAUUAAUGCCUGUCCACCACCAUCCAUUGCUGAGUUGAAAAAUGAGUGGCCAUAUCUUUUUACACCCAAAGAACUGUAUAGCCACUUUAAGUCACUUACCAACAUCAGCAUUUUGGAAAGACUUGAGAAGUCCAUGGAAGAAAAAGGAAAGAUGAUUCUUCAGUUUUUCCAUCAAAAGCCAGCAGGGACCAAAACAGAUGAGAUUCAGCGAAUACUUCUGAAGUUUGAUGAUAGUGGAGCUUCAAGUUUCAUUCCAUGUGUGGUCCUUGUGCUUCUGUCACACUUUAAAGAAAAAAACGAUGCACUGAUUCUUCAGACGGAUGUGUCAGCAACAGCAGGUGAUGUGGAGAAAAGCUUGGUGCUUCCAGACUCUCCAAGACUAAUUGUCUUAGGGGACAUUCUCACUGCAACUCAGUGGAUGCUGAGCAUCGAGGGACAAGUAGUUGUUGGUCCACACCCCAAUUUCAUAGCUGGAUUUGCAGCUUUGUUUUCAAGCUACUACAACUUCAAUCUGGUGUACCAGGAGCAGGCGUCUUGCACACUCGAAUUUGUUCAAAGGUAAGAAAAUGACUUAAAUAGAAGUUCUGUCAUCAUUUACUCUUCCUCACUUGUCAUAAACAUCUUUUAGUUCUCUUUGCUUUUGUUGAACACAAAAUAAUAUAUUUUGAUGAAAGAAAAACACUUCUAAUCAUUCACUUCCAGAGUUUUUAGGUUGAACUACACCUUUAAUACAACUCAAAUGCAUUUUUUAUUCAUUUAUUUACCCUCAGGCUAUCCAAUAUUUAGGUGACUUAAUGACUUAUUAUAGUCUCAUGCAAAAGUUAAAUUAUCAGUCUUUGCAAGAAACUAAUUAUGAUGAUAACUAUUCUACUUUUAAACCAUGUACAGGAUAAGCCAGACAACUCUGGAGCUUGAGUUUUCUUUCACAGAAAGACAUGUUAAUUGUAAAUCUUGUGUGAACCAAAAUGAUUCUUAUUUACACACAUUGUACCUCUGUUGUAAAUAAUAAAUUCAGUUCAUUUAUGUUUCUGGUUGCGUGUUCCAUCAUAUGACAGAAAGCUUGAGCUCUGGAUUAGUUUGUUAUGGCAGUGCUGUACAAACAUUUUUUUGUACAAACUGAUUGUUUCCCUUCAUAUGACCACAAUAUAUCUGUUAUAUCUAUCUUUUUAUGGUAGUCAUUUACUUUCAUUAUAAAACUCACAACAGACCACAGUAUCAGUUAAAACCUUAAUUUUCAACUGAAGGAAACUACACUGCAAAAAAUGCUUUUCUUACUUAGAUUUUUGGUCUUGUUUCUAGUCUAAAUAUCUAAAAUUUCUUAAAUCAAGAAGCAAUUUCUAGACAAGCAAAACAUAUUGUCUUGUUUUGAGAAAUAAAAUGCCAAUAUUAAGUUAGUUUUUCCUUAUCUGCCAAUGGGGUAAGCAAAAUAAUCUUGUUUUUUCUUUUGACGUGUAAGAUUAUUUUGCUUACCCCAUUGGCAGAUUAUUUUGCUUGUUUUAAGGAAAAAUGUAAAAUUUAGGAAUUUUAAGAUAUUUGGACUAGAAACAAGACAAAAAAAAUCUAAGUAAGAAAAGCAUUUUUGCAGUGUAGUUUUAUUUUAUUGUAAAGCUCCUGUCUUUAUUUUAUGACUGGUCUUUUUGCAGAUGCUUUGUUGGAAUCAAUCCACCCACUGGGACCAAGGCAGCCACAGCAAAGAUUGGAGGAAAAAAAGGUGGAAAGGUGUCAGAGAAGAGGAACCACACAGUCAAUCCUCAUGUUUGUACUCUUCUCAGAAAGCUAAUGGACUUUGAAUGGUUAAGCAUGUAAGUGAGUUCAAAGUUCAAAUACAGGACUUCUGCAAAAUGAACAAACUUGUUAUAGACACACAUUUAUAAUAUUUUGAUUGUUCAAGAACAUCUUAAAGCUAUUUGUACUUUAUUUUUUGAAAUUUUGAGAAUGUUUUUCAGCAAUGUUCAGCAACAGAAAUGUUAUUUUACAAGUUGAACUCUUAGAGUGCUCUGCUGUCAGUUUUAAAAAAAUAGUUUAUUACAAUUGUUUGUAUAGACACGUGAUGUUGUAACAUUUGGGAUAUCUUUGGGAUAUCAAAAUAUCUUAUUUACUGCCACUUUUGACACUUUGUGAAUAUAGAUAAUUUUGUUAAAAUAAAUUGUUUAAAUGUGUUUUGGCAUAGCUGAUUCACUUUAUUGAGUUUUAAUCAACCCAGAAUAUUGCUUCAAAUUUAAAGUCUUUAAUAAAAAAUAAAUGCUGUUAUUACAAUAAUUUUGCAUUUGUUUUUUUUUAUUAUUAUUAUUAAAAAUGUAUAGUGUAUGUUUGGUGUAUAGUGUAAUGCAUUUAAAACAACAAGUAAUAGAUUUGCUUACUGUAAAAAAAAUCAUGAUUUACAGCAUUUUCAAGGUAAAACUAUUACAACAACAUCUUGGGUUUUGGGGUAUUUACAAGAUUUUAUUGGCAACUUUAGUUGCCAGGUAAAUACUGUAAUGUAGUGGAAUUACAAGAAAGUACUGUAAUGUAAAAUACAAGUUAAUUUUGUAUUGCUGUAAAAAACACAAGAAAAUAAUGUAUUUCAAAUACAAUUAUUAGCUGUAAAUUGAUUUACAGUAUUUUACUGUAAUCUAUUUUACAGCAAUUUACAACAUUUUUACAAGACAUUAUUGGCAACUUUUUUGCCAGGUAAUUCCUGUAAAUUCUACAGUAAAUUUUUUACAGUGUAGCCUAGGCAAGGCAAGUUUAUUUAUAUAGCACAUGUACAAUGGUAAUUCACAGUGCUUUA